GUCCACGCCCUAAAACGAUGGGUACUCGGUGUCGCGGGUAUCGACCCCCGCGGUGCCUUAGCUAACGCGUUAAGUACCCCGCCUGGGGAGUACGGUCGCAAGGCUGAAACUCAAAAGGAAUUGACGGGGGCCCGCACAAGCGGUGGAGCAUGUGGUUUAAUUCGAUGCAACGCGAAGAACCUUACCUGGGCUCGAACGGUGGUGGACAACCGUGGAAAACACGGUCUCCUCUUCGGAGGUCGCCAUCGAGGUGCUGCAUGGCUGUCGU
RNAcentral lists this ribosomal RNA (268 nucleotides) under uncultured bacterium. Its description in RNAcentral is "partial 16S ribosomal RNA". It matches the Rfam family "Bacterial small subunit ribosomal RNA", at positions 793 to 1055 of the family's 1533-position model. The record is from RNAcentral.